This 1306-nucleotide long non-coding RNA is filed under the name Gouania willdenowi (blunt-snouted clingfish). RNAcentral's name for it is "lncRNA (ENSGWIG00000000587.1)". The record is from RNAcentral. Lineage: Eukaryota; Metazoa; Chordata; Actinopteri; Blenniiformes; Gobiesocidae.
AUUACAUGUGGACAGAUGGGUACAGAUGUGCACAUUUAUGGAAAGCAGCAGCAGUGUUUGUCACAAACUGUUGGAAAAAGAGAAAAACUGCUCUGUCAUUCUCCUCCCCGUCACCACGGCAACGCACCAUGGCAACUGCACCUCCUCCAAUCAGCUGCAGCGCAGACUUUCCUGUUUCCUCUUUUUACAGACUGCUGCUCUCUGUGGUCACCUCGGGGUCAAAGGUCAGAGAGGAGAACGGCUGCAGUAGAUCCAUCUGAGCUGGAGAGGGCGCCACAUUCACAAAAACCACAGAACAGCCCCUGACCCACGUGUUGAGAACUAUGUGUGUGCGUGCGUACAGGUAACUGGAGCUGCAGGAACUUCUCCACAUGUCAGGACAAGCACAGGAACUAUCAGUGUGGUCUUCAUCUACACACACAAAAAAAAAUCAGCAGGAGAACCUGCAAACUUCACUGAGUCACCUGUGUGUGUGUGUGUUCUAAGUGUGAGUGAAGACAUUAAAAAUACUAGUUAAUCAUCCAGCGUACAAUGUAUGAAGUCGUAUCAGUGCCACAAAGUGCUCUAACUGUUCUUAAGGUUGUUUAAAAGUGCAGGGGGCGGAGCUACAGCAGGAAUGUAGAGCUCAGGUGGGGAGAGAGAGACAGUGAGAGAGUGAGACCAGAGGAGGAAACAUCUGACCAUUGGAUCGCUGCUUCAACCUGCUGUGGAUUUACUCAUCCUGACUUGAUCUGAUGAUGGAAGGGUCAGAGGUUUGUUCCUCUGCUCCAAGGAUUCCACGAACAUCAUGAUUCAUCCUGGAGGAGAACAACACUCUCAUCCACCAUGUCCUCUGAGCUCAGCAGGUAGGAGAUAACUUAAUCCUGACUUAAAUUAACUAAAACAUCCACCAUGUCCUCUGAGCUCAGCAGGUAGGAGAUAACUUAAUACUGAUUUAAAUUAACUAAAACAUCCACCAUGUCCUCUAAACUCAACAGGUAGGAGAUAACUUAAUCCUGACUUAAUAUACCCACCGUGUCCUCUGAGCUCAGCAGGUAGGAGAUAACUUAAUCCUGACUGAAGUUAACUAAAACAUUCUCCAUGUCCUCUAAACUCAGCAGGUUGGAGAUAACUUCAUCCUGACUUAAUAUACCCACCAUGUCCUCUGAGCUCAGAAAGUUGGAGAUUACUUAAUCCUGAUUUAAAUUAACUAAAACAUCCACUAUGUCCUCUAAACUCAGCAGGUAGGAGAUAACUUAAUCCUGACUGAAGUUAACUAAAACAUUCUCCAUGUCCUCUGAGCUCAGCAUGUAGGAGAUAACUUAAU